Molecule: transfer RNA, 72 nt
Filed under: bacterium HR33
Lineage: Bacteria
Description: tRNA-Gln
Rfam family: tRNA
About the family: Transfer RNA (tRNA) molecules are approximately 80 nucleotides in length. Their secondary structure includes four short double-helical elements and three loops (D, anti-codon, and T loops).
Source: RNAcentral
UGGCCCCUCGUCCAACGGCAGGACGCCGGACUUUGGAUCCGGAAAUCUUGGUUCGAAUCCAAGGGGGCCAAC